RNAcentral lists this ribosomal RNA (490 nucleotides) under uncultured bacterium. RNAcentral's name for it is "partial 16S ribosomal RNA". It matches the Rfam family "Bacterial small subunit ribosomal RNA", at positions 30 to 507 of the family's 1533-position model. The record is from RNAcentral.
AUUGAACGCUGGCGGCAGGCUUAACACAUGCAAGUCGAGCGGUAGCACAAGAGAGCUUGCUCUCUGGGUGACGAGCGGCGGACGGGUGAGUAAUGUCUGGGAAACUGCCUGAUGGAGGGGGAUAACUACUGGAAACGGUAGCUAAUACCGCAUAACGUCGCAAGGCCAAAGAGGGGGACCUUCGGGCCUCUUGCCAUCAGAUGUGCCCAGAUGGGAUUAGCUAGUAGGUGGGGUAAUGGCUCACCUAGGCGACGAUCCCUAGCUGGUCUGAGAGGAUGACCAGCCACACUGGAACUGAGACACGGUCCAGACUCCUACGGGAGGCAGCAGUGGGGAAUAUUGCACAAUGGGCGCAAGCCUGAUGCAGCCAUGCCGCGUGUGUGAAGAAGGCCUUCGGGUUGUAAAGCACUUUCAGCGAGGAGGAAGGUGGUGAACUUAAUACGUUCAUCAAUUGACGUUACUCGCAGAAGAAGCACCGGCUAACUCCGUG